AGUGAACGCUGGCGGUAGGCCUAACACAUGCAAGUCGAACGGCAGCACAGUAAGAGCUUGCUCUUACGGGUGGCGAGUGGCGGACGGGUGAGGAAUACAUCGGAAUCUACUUUUUCGUGGGGGAUAACGUAGGGAAACUUACGCUAAUACCGCAUACGACCUACGGGUGAAAGCAGGGGAUCUUCGGACCUUGCGCGAGUGAAUGAGCCGAUGUCGGAUUAGCUAGUUGGCGGGGUAAAGGCCCACCAAGGCGACGAUCCGUAGCUGGUCUGAGAGGAUGAUCAGCCACACUGGAACUGAGACACGGUCCAGACUCCUACGGGAGGCGGCAGUGGGGAAUAUUGGACAAUGGGCGCAAGCCUGAUCCAGCCAUACCGCGUGGGUGAAGAAGGCCUUCGGGUUGUAAAGCCCUUUUGUUGGGAAAGAAAAGCAGCAGGUUAAUACCCCGCUGUUCUGACGGUACCCAAAGAAUAAGCACCGGCUAACUUCGUG
Molecule: ribosomal RNA, 492 nt
Filed under: uncultured bacterium
Lineage: Bacteria
Description: partial 16S ribosomal RNA
Rfam family: Bacterial small subunit ribosomal RNA
Source: RNAcentral